Molecule: long non-coding RNA, 24336 nt
Filed under: Linum usitatissimum (flax)
Lineage: Eukaryota; Viridiplantae; Streptophyta; Magnoliopsida; Malpighiales; Linaceae
Description: long non-coding RNA (LUSI_LNC003224)
Source: RNAcentral
UUUUUUUUUCUAGAUCUUGUUAACUGUUGAAGAAAAAAUUCAUGCAUAAGUUUAAUUAAUAUGUGGUGAUCGAACACAUCAUCCAUGUUAUUAUUUAAAAUGAAACCCUUAAUUAACUAAUUAAGUGGGGGUGCUUACGUAGCUCAUGCAGACCCUAUUCUGAAGUAAUUACUUGUCUCAAUUUUGGGGAUUGAUCCUUCUGCAUGGAUUAGUAUUAGAAAUUAAUUAAUUAAUUAGUUUAAAUUGGUUGACUAAGAUCAUUUAGCGUAUCGAGAGAGUUGACUAACCUACACGUAAUUUCAUUGUUGGUGGAAAUUGCUAGGAAGCCCUCCUUCUAUACCCACUAAUAUACCGACUAACUUUGUUUCACCAUUAUUUUUUUUUCCAAAAUGAUAUUCAAUUUGUCAAACAAUUCCUAGGGAGGACUACCACUCAUAACGAGUGAAGCCCGGCCUCAUAAAAGAGUAGUUUGAACUAUUAUUUUUGUCUUCCAAUCACCCAUGUAUUAGAUACUCUUAAACAGGAGUAAACAUCCCAGACACUAAGCUCUACCCGACAGCAAAAGUCAAAGCAAAUAAGAAAUAAUUGUUCAUGCAGAAAGAAACAUCUGAAACUAAAAAAGCAAUAAACGACCCGUGGAGUCCGAAUUGGGGACACUCAAAACAUCAAACACUCAAAGAGGCCGAUACCUCGAGUGAGUUCUCACCGACAGAUCACUCCUCGGGUCAGGACCUGUUGUUCAGGCCUGCCGUUGUCAGGCCUCGAUCAAGUUGUCGUUGCAUUGAUGUCUCCUUAACAGAUGGUGGAGUGCUAGCCAUGGUGAUUGAAAGGAGGAUGGGGAAUCGACGACGAAGAUGAUGAUGAUGAUGAUGAUGACGAUCAUGACGAUGAUGAUGAUGGGGGAUCAGCGAUGAUGAUGAUGGUGGAAGAAAGAUGUCGUGGGCGGCGUUGGCAUUGAACCAAUAACAAAGGGUUAUAAAACCCUAAAAAUCGCCUCUCAACAGGAGGAAGACCACUUCUAUUUGACCAUUGUUUAUAGGGGUUACCAUAAUGACACUUGUUUUUUUAGCCAUUUUCACAAUGCAUGUCAAAUAUUAGUCGAUUUGAAAAUUUUAAAUUUUUUUUGUUGAAAUGGCCAAUUUCCAAAUGUUAACGAAUCGCCUUAAAUUAAGGAGUAGGAUCUCCCGUAUGAUACUAACCGAUGGGAAGAGGGAUACCCUGUAGUGCCAAAGUUGUAAAUACUACUAUCCUCACGCUUUAGAGUACAUAUGCAUAAGUUUAAUGGGAAUAUUUUCCUCUGUAUAUACUCUUUCUCCAAAAAACUAAUUUCUACGUCAUUCAUAACCUUACUAUCUUAUCCCACUUAACUUGCAAGGACUGUACAAGGCUGGAGCUGAGGAAGACUCUUGAAGCCAGCAAUCGUAUGUCAAAACCUCUUAUGUUCCAACUGGACGAAUUGGAUAUCCACCACGAAUCUAUAUCACCGGAUUUUUCAAUAUAAUUAAACCUAAGAAUAAAUCUAAUAAAAGUUAUAUGGACGUUUAUUAUAUAGUUCUUAUCAUUUACCGCUAAGCGAAUUAUAUUGCGGAUUGUUUGAUCAAUUCAGGUCUUUUUUUAUUACGAAUUACAUUUUCUUAAUUCAUUACAUAGAGGUUUGCCUCAUUGGUUACGUUAUGACUUUAUUAAUAUUUUGCUGCCUUAAACAGUUAAAUAUGCUUCAGCGCCGUAUUGUACCAAAGAAAACGUAUCUAUUUCUUACUAUAAUUAAGUAAUGAGUUUAUCAGAGUUCACGGACGACUUGGGAUCUUCUAAUCCUUUGAAUUAAUUGUAAUUAAAAGUGACUUUCUCGCAACUUCCUGGUUACUUCUCCUGGCACUACCAAUAUGUCAGCCAAAACUAAAGAUGCAGAGAAUGUAGCAAGUUAAUUAUUGGUGGAAAAUUAGUUGAAUUUUAAUAUAUGAAAUUUGAACCUAUGAAAAAUUGGAAUUUGAUUCAACGAGGGUGAUGCAAUUGUUCAUAUUUUUAUAUACUUGUGUAGAGACUAGAGAGACUAUUAUUGUAUUUUUGCAUGGUGCAUGCACCCAGACAAAUAGUUCACGUUAUUAUAUAUAAUCAGUCGCAUUAAGGUCUCCUUUCCAGAUUUUGUUCCGCCCGGUCGGUCGCCUAGGGCGAGCAAUAAGAGGUUAUAGUUUGUGAAAACCGAGUUUAAGUGUAAUCGUCUGAUCCAGAUCGUUUGAUCCAAUCUUGUGUAAUUUUCGUAGCAAGUGAUCAAAUGAUAUAAUCGUAGUGAGUUAAGGAAUGACAUACGUUUGUAGACAGCGGAUAGAAGGUGAAAUGGAUAAAGAUCAUAUGUAAAGAGGGAAUGUUGCCGCUGAAUUAUAUUUAUGAAAGUAUGCCUUCAGCAGGAUGCGCAAAAGCAAUAUUUAUAGUUCGAAACCGAGUAGUAUGGCUUCAUAUCCCAGCGGUUGAUCAGUCUGAGGUAGUCCACUGAAAUUUCGUCACAUAUGCUUGUAAGAGAUAACCUAAUCGUAACAAAUUAAGUCUGAUAGGCUUUUAGACUCAAUUGCCCAAAAACCACUAGAACCAGAUAGGUCAACCAGCAACGACGAGUCUUAUAUGGGCUUUCGCCCUAGCAGGCCCAUCAAAUUUGGUUUAUACGUUACAAUUAAAGUUUAAGUCGUCUUACUUGUAUCAUCUCCUACAUAGUAGUCGAUAUUCCAGCUUGACCGCGGUUAGAAAAUAGUCAUCUAAAGACAAACUAGGUUAUACUAUAUGUAGUAGUUCAUCAUGUAUUAUAAUUAAUAACGUACAAAGGUUCCGAGUACAGACUGAGUUCACUGCACUAGGCAACUGCUAACGUUGAAACGACUGAGUUUUGGCUGUAUUCGUCGUACGACGGCGGCUGAAUCAUGCGACAGCUACGGUUAAUCAUUUGUUUUUUGUUUCCUUGCCGGCCGGCUGAUGAUUGUUAAUUAAUUAAGUUUAGCCUGAUUAAUCCUUAAGAGUAAUUCGAUCAAUCUUAUGAUCCACUGAACAAAGCUCUGUUCUAAUAGCUAUAGCAGUUGCUUUUAGAUCAAUUGACGACGUUUAUGUAAGUUAUUAUUCAUUCAAAUAUUCAAUCAUGGUCACAAUUUUUCACUUGUAAAUGUCACAAAGAAAAUUAUAGACCAAGCCCAGACCCCCACGAGGGAGCUAAUCCAUCACGACUAGGUUUGCUUAUCUAAUAUAUGAAAAGAUUUUAGCGGACCACCUCAAUCUUAUGGGUAGUAUCGACUAUGUGAUUAGAUCUUAGCGGUUGUGUCUUCUUUGUUCAUUUCUCAUUUAUCUUUCCUAAUCAUGUAUGUGUCAUUCUUUAGCUUACUACCUUAUUACAUUACCUGGUUCCAAAGCAACUACAAAACUGGACCAUCAUAUAACAUUUAGACUCAACGAUCAUAUACCGAAACCUCUUGUUGUGCACCCUAGGUGAACAAUUCUUAGUCUAUAUAUGAAUCAAUUAAGAACCUUUUGCAACGAAUUAGAGCAGCUAUUGAGAGAAAUAAUUUCUGUAUGAGAUUAGAGUCCCCAUCUUGAUAUCAAAUUCUGACACUUGCAGAAGGCUUGUGGUGAGGAGUUGGACUAGUGAGGCUAACAUGCAGGAGGUAUGAACACAAAGUUUCAUGAAAAUUUGAAGCUAAGCCUAAUGAAAAAUAGAACCAUGGACUCUAUGUUGAUUGUGUUUGUGGCCCAACCCAGAUCUUGGCCCAAAGUUCCUUCCCGUCCAACGACAUUGGCCCAAAGUAUUUUGCAGUAACAGGUCCACCCCCCACAUCCACCCCAACACCCCCGACUUGUUUCAUUAUCCAUCCAAUUAUCGAACCCCCCGCCGUAAAUAAUAUAAAUAUUAAUUAGAAUAAAUUAUUAAAAUAUAAUUACUUUUGAUAAAAUAAUUUUUCCAGAUUAUAAAUAUAUAUCGUUGUAAAGCGGUUAAGUUGGAUGAGCGGCCAGGAUUGUAGCUAGCUUAUUGUUAGUUUGUUACAACCAUGAACGUUGGUUGCUGGUUGCCCCCGUUUCCAAUUUCCAGUGAAUCCCCAUUAUUCGGUGGUCCGAUAUCCACCGUUGGUUGCUAGCUAGUUGACACUUACCGUUACUAUUCAUUCUCUUAAAAUUCAAAAUUCCAUCGCCAUACAAAAUAUAUGAAAGUACGUCAAAGAUAGAAUUCGUAUGAAUUACUUUCUUCCUCGGUACCAAAGAAGACUAGGCAAGAAAAUUAAAUUGAUGACACCCUACGCUUCAUAUUCACAAAAACUGAUGUAUAUAUGUACUUACAUACAAUAAAAGUCACCUAGCCAAUCUCACUUUUUAGAUGGUUGAAAUGCCACACAUCAAUAAAUGCAAACUACCUCUCUCAACAACGGCAUAUCGAAAUGUUCAAUGCAUUAUAUUAAAUUAUACAUUGAGUUGUAAAUAUAUAAACAGUAUGUUACUUAACUCCAUCUACCAAAAUGCCAAAAGCAAAGAGAUGAAUUGAAUUCGACCCUCGAAAGUAAGUGUACUUCAACGUCUAUAAAUAAGAAUAAGUGUGAAAUGUACAGUUAUUCCGACCCAUGAUCCAUCUACCAAAGCCCAUAAAAAAAACCCCUUUGAAACAAAUUCGACAUCAAACUACUAAGAUCCUGAUUCCUGAAACUAUGGAGCUUGAAGCGCAGGCUCACAUCUUCUACCACUCUUUCAGCUACAUGGUCUCGUUGUCGAUGAAAUGCGCGGUCGAGCUCGGGAUACCGGACCUCAUCCACCGCCGAUCUCCCUCGCCCACUUCGCUGUCCACUCUCGUCUCGGCCCUCGAGCUGGACCCGUCGAAAUAUGAGGCCGUUAAACGCCUCAUGCGCCUCCUCGUCCACGCUGGCUUCUUCCAGAUACAAAUACAGGAAGAAGGAAGAGGUCAAGAGGAAUUUAAUUACCUUCCUACCCCUUCGACGAAGCUCCUCAUCACCCCUCAUUUGUUGUUGAACCUCGACCCGAAGAUACUCGCCACUUGGACGUCCUUCAGUGGCUGGUUCCGCGAAGGAGGCGGUAAAGGUGACGUGCCACUUUUCCAGGCGGUGAAUGGGUUGCCGGCGUGGGAGUACUUGGCUGAAAAUCCGGAGCUGAGGAAGAUGUUCUACCUCGCCACCGAUCAGGACUCCAGGUGAGAUAAUCACUGUCUAGUCAUCCAAAUUUCAUAUUGUAACAUCGCAGUCAUCUAAUUUCAUUCAAGUAACAUAAUGCCAUUUCCGCCCACUUAGUUUUUUUAAGGGGUGAAAGUGGGUCGGGACACUUGAUAACAACCAUAAUCGGAGAUUAAUUAAAAUGAUAUAAAAAGUUAAAAUAUAUGUUAAUCGAUUAACCAACUUACCUUUUGUGGGUGAUUAAUGAAUCAUCAAUUAACCAACUGAAGUGGACUGAUUUUAGUCCAAAUAAGUAUAAAAACAGAUUAUAUGAUUAGAAUCCAUAAUUGAAGGUCCACCCCAAUUUUUUUUCUCUAAAAUUAACAACUCAUGCUAAUGUAUUAUUCAAAAUGAUAUUUAAUAAAUUUAUCAACUGAAUGACCCGAAUACGAAAUUGAAGGGAAAAACAUGAUUGGGGGAUAAUAUAUUGAGCACUUUUUCCGUAAAAUAUAAAGAUAAUUUUUAAAAAAAUUAGAUGAUUUGGAUGACAAUUUUGUAGAUGAAGGAAUGAAAGUAGAUGAAAUUAUUGUUAAGUUGGGUGACUGUCAUGUUACAAGUAAAAAGUUAGGUGGUCACUUUGCACAGAACCCAAUUAAAAGUGACUGAAGAGUGACGGAUUAUGCUUUUGACCCAAUAAUUAAUCAAUUACAUUAUUAAUUCCUAUCCAAAGAAAUCUUGACUUCGCAUGCAUGCAGAUUGAUAGCGGAAGGGCUGGUUACGAGGUGCAAGGAGGUGUUCGACGGAGUCGAGACGCUGGUGGAUGUCGGCGGAGGUAACGGCAUCAUGGCCGUUGCCAUUGCUAAGGCGUUGCCAAAGAUCGAAUGCACCGUACUCGAUCUGCCUCACGUCGUCGUUAACUCGGAAGAGGGCGACGGCGUUGACAACGUCAAGUAUGUCGGUGGGAGCAUGUUUGAAAAAGUCCCGCCUGCCGAUGCUGUUCUCCUUAAGGUAUUCCUAUCAUAUAGAAAAUGUAGUUUUGGUGACCAACAAGUUAAUUAGGGACUGUUUUACCUCUAAACAGUCACUAAUAUAUCAAAAUGGUUAGUGACAACUUGAUUAUUGACUGUUUUAUGAAAUAAUCACAUACUCUCAAUCCAUAAAACUGCAUUUUCAUAUAGCGAAUAACGGGGUUCCGAUAAGCUUGAUUCCUUCAUCUACCGUAUUUUUACUACAAUGCAGUCAGUUCUGCACAAUUGGAACGACGAAAAAAGCGUGGAGCUAUUGAAGAUAUGCAGAGAGGCAGUCUGUGACCAAGAAGGGGAGACGAAGAAGAAGAAGAAAGGGAAGGUGAUACUCGUAGACAUGGUGGUUGAAAACGAGCAAGGCGGGACGGUGGAUGACAGAGAGUUGACUCAAGUGAAGCUCUGCUUCGACUUGUUGAUGUUGAGUUAUUGCAAUGGCAAGGAGAGGACCGAGAAGGAAUGGAAGAACUUGUUCAUGUUGGCUGGCUUUAGUGACUACAAGAUCGUUCAAUCUUUGGGCACGUUGACUGUCGUUGAAGUAUAUCCUUAAUUGGUGGUUUAAUUUGUUAUGUGGGGUGUUUUGUAAUGGGAGAAAUAAUAAGAUGGUAAUAAAAGGAUUUUGUGGAUUUGUUGCUCUAAUCGUUGUUAAUUUAUAACUAGUUAUAUCGGAGUUGAUUGUAAAGGUUGAUCGUGCAUAUAUCACUUUUAGUUAUCGGUCUGUCCUUAAUUAUAUUCGGGCGGAGCAGGUUUGAUAAAUCUAAACCGAUAAGUGUUGAUGUCUCGACCGGAAUGUUUUACUUGUCGGAUCGGAGGGAAGGAGAGUGUGAAGGGUUCAAUUAGUGUUUAAGGCACAAAUGGAUUUUUUUAUUGCUCGAAUAUACACUAUCAGAAGAAAGACCUUUAGCCACCAAAAAUUCGCAUUUUCAUUAACUAAAGGUUGAGUGACUCAUCAACGAGCCUCAAAAAAAAACUUAGAGAUAAGUGCAAGUGUAUAUCGCUUGCUGAAAGGUACGCACCUGUUAUGUUCACCAUUCUUAGGGAUGCUGGUUUCAGGUGGUUACCUCGCCUAUCGAAAUUCUGUUCAAAAACCUCAUCUGAGAACUUGUAUAGAGAAGGAUUUCCUGCGGCGCAGCAGUUCUUCCAUAGUUCCUGUAAGUUAUAAUUAAGUAGCUUAGUCGCUUGACUUUUAAUCAAAGAAAAUGAGAUUUUUUGGUGACUAAAUAAUUCUUUUUUUUAUAGUGAUAAUUAAGUUAUUGCUUUAGUUUAGCGAUUAAUAACGAAUAGUUAACUUCGUAAUUGAAGAAUUAGCUAUCUACUUAUAUGAGGAUUGACACAUAAUAUAAUUUCGUUCAACCAUCAUUAUUUCGGUAGGUGCAUUGAACAUACGAGUGAUGAAACGGAAUAAUCAUGUUAAACAUAACCACUUAAAACCGACAUAAUUAAUUACUUAUAAUCACAUCGACCAUCAGAUUAACCAUUAAUGAUGCGAUUACCCUUUAAACCAUAAUUUCAUUAUAUAAAUGUUUAAGUAGGCCGUCACUAACACAAAAGGCUUCUAGAGACUCGUGUUCUAUUUGGACUUGUGCAGAAACAGGUAGUGUACAAAAGGGACAUGCAAAGGAUGAAUUGAACACUUAUGCUUUUGUCGAUUUUCAGGGCUUGAAUGUCAACAACCGAAAAGAACAAGUUCCAAAUAGUAACAAACAAAAUGUCCGAGUCCUCUCUUUAGCUUCAUGCACUUGUCUUUUAACUAUUAUGUUCUACUCACCAUUAAACAACACUAUCUCCCCAUAAAAAGCUAUUAAUACUCUGUUAGGGUAAAUGGUAAUUUUGUCCCGCCAAGUUAACAGACUGCCAAAUGAAGAUAUGAUGAAAUGUGAUCUAUUACGCUGUAUGAUAACCCACUUAACAAUAAAAUUAUUUUGUUAAUUUCGUCAUUAAUAACUACAGAGUACGUAGCACCAAUCGAAAUUGAGACUAUCUAAAGAGAUCAUAGGGAACUAGUUAGUGUGCCAGGGUGCUAGUGCUACUCAUCUAACAGGCGGAGGCCGAAUCUGAGAUUUAUGACCCUCAUUAGCAAGAGUAUCCGCAAGAAAAUUGACUUCAUGAAACACAUGUGUAAGCUCGAUGGAUGACUUAUUAUUGUUGUAAUAACUUCUAGAAUUGUAUAAUCAAAUAUGUGUUGAGUGAUCGAUGAUGACUUAUUAUUUAUUUUUUCUCCAAAAUUAUGUAUUUUUUGAGAAAAUAAUUUCGAUUUUUUAACAAAAUUAUUUUCGAUCUUUCUUUGUCUUGGCGAUAUAUAAUAUCGAGAAUUGAACAUCAAUUCCCAAUCAAUUGCAAAAUAAUAAUGGUGCAAAAAAAAUUACGAAAUUUAAAAAUACAAUUUUAUAAAAAUCGAUCUAAAUUCGUCCACUCACAAUAUCACCCUUCAAUAUUUAUAUUUAUACAUAACCUCUAAAGACCUAGGAGGACCAUCCAUCCUCAAUCCUCUCCUACUCAAACCUCCCACAACAAAAGAUGACACAAUACUCAACCGCCGUCAAAACCACCGCCGAACUCCAAAUCUCCCCGCCGCCGAACACCCUCCCUCCCACAACCACCAUCCCACUCACAGUCUUCGACGUCCCAUGGCUAAUCUGCCACCCAGUCCAACGAGUCUUCUUCUACCACAUCCCAACAAUCUACACCGCCGAAUUCCACAACUCAAUAAUCCCCAAACUAACCUCCUCCCUCUCCGCCGCCCUCGUCCACUUCUACCCUUUCGCCGCCAAACUCAUCUCCCCUCCCAUCCCGACCAAGCCGUACAUCCUCUACUCCCGAAACGACGCCGUUUCCUUCACCGUCGCGGAAUCCACCGCCACCCUCGACUUCCACCAAGCCGCGUCAAACUCCCCCACCGACGUCCGUUUGCUCCACCCUCUUCUCCCCAAACUCCCUCCCGUUAAAACAAACCCCGACAGCGUCACCACAGAAUCAAAGCUCUUGUCUUUAAAGGUCACUCUGUUUCCAAACUCUGGUUUCUCCAUCGGAUGCGAGUUCCGCCACGUGGCGGCUGACGGCUUAGCCUUCAACCACUUCGUCAAAUCAUGGGCGGAAAUUUCCAAAUCCGGCGCCGUUUUGGAUGAAUUCUCGAAAUUGUCGAUUUCUUCGCCGCCGUGUCACGACAAGGAGUUGAUAGAGGAAAACAGAGUGUUGGAGGAUAAGUUUCUGGAGAAUUUCUGGAGCUUCAAAUCGCCAUGGGAAGGGGAUGCACUUGAAUGUCUCCUCGCUGACAAAGUCCGGGCGACGUUCUCCAUCUCCGGCGAGCAAAUUUCGAGGAUGAAAGCUUUGGUGAACGGUGAUGGCGGGAAAUUGAAGCUGUUGUCGCCGCCGGCGACAACUUUCACGGUGACUAGUGCUUUGAUAUGGAGCAGUUUGAUCAAAUCUCAACUGACCGAAAUCCUCCUCGCCGGCGGCGAGGUGGAGGAAGAUGAAGAUAAAUUAGACUGCUAUGCGUUCCCGGUGGACUGCAGGGGAAGGAUGGACCCGAAGCUUCCGGCGGGGUAUUUUGGUAAUUGUUUGUCCGGGGGAAGGGUGUUGGUGAGGAGGAAGGAUUUGAUCGGAGAUUAUGGGAUUGUUACGGCGGCGAGGGAAAUUGGCCGGAGGAUUAAGGAGAUUGGAGCGGAAGGAGCGGUGAGGAGCGUGGAGAAGUAUUAUUCGUUUUCGGAGUGGGGAGAGAUUUUGAGGCAGGGGGUUAAGCUGGUUACGGUGGCCGGUUCGGCCAAGUUGGGGGUUUACGAGACCGAUUUCGGGUGGGGCAGGCCGUGUAAGACGGAGCCGGUUCAUGUGGAUUUCUCUGGGUCGGUUUAUUUUUCGGACGGGAGGGACGUGGAGAAGGGUGGGAUUGAGUUCGGGUUGUCGUUGAAAAGAGCCGAGAUGGAUUCGUUUGUGGCCGUGUUCGAGUCGCAGUUGGCUCGAUUUCGAGGUUGAGUAGGGAGUAAGCUCGUGCUAUAAAAGAUGUAAUAAAUGUUUGUUUGUGGAUUGAUUUGAGUUACUUGGUGAAAACAAUACUAUUGUCUUAGAUUCCUCAUGUAUGUUACUUUUUUCCUUUUCAUUUAUAAAUAUCUAAUCUUAGUCGUUUUUUUUACUUUCAUCUGCCAGUAUCCAUGCCAUAUAUUAGAGUGAUUCGUGUCUAUUGGGUAUAGCGAACGAGAAUAAAGUAAAUAUAUUACACUAAUAAAUUAUAUAUCGUAAUAGUUUUUAGGCAGGUUGAAAGUGGCGGUAGUCCGCCACACAUAAAAUCAAUAUGGAUGGGUGAUUAUCACCCCAAUACCAUAAUGACGACAAUUAAGCCAACCUCCUUAGACCAAUUUACUGUAGUAAUAUUAAUAACGCAAUAUACAACAAAUAUUCUCAAAAUUGCCAAGCACAAAACGGUAAGUAAAUCACACCAGAAUUUACGUAGUUCCCCUCCAAUGCGGAGAGUACAUCUACGGCAGCAGCGACAGCUACCAGUCCAUCCAAAAAAAAAUAAAAACCCAACCCNNNNNNNNNNNNNNNNNNNNNNNNNNNNNNNNNNUCUCUCAAGUGUUUCCCAACCCCGAAACAACUACUCACUAUUUUUGUCGCUCACAAGAAAGUAUUCUUACCACAGUAAAACAUUUAUCGAAAUUUUCUAUCGCUCACCUAUCUACCAACAAUUGAGAUAACCAAUCUCAAUUAUGAACAAGUAAAGAAAUUUUACAAAAAAGAAAGAAAAAAAGACAUAAAGAAAGUAUUUUUAUUCUUCAAUUAACAUAGGUUAAAUUGUCUCACAUUUUCAUUUUUUUUAAUUAUAAACUUAAUUGUUUAUAUAUUUUCCAUAACAAAAAAAAUUUAUCUAUCUUUAUUUAUUUUUUAAAAUUUUCAUGACACAGACCAUUCUAAUUAAUAUUAAAUAGGAGCAACUACACGUACUUCUUGACUAUUUAUUGUCCAUUUGGAACGAUGUAUGGAAGUCCAUGGGAAUGGCAGUACCUCCAGUAUUGCCUUGAGAGGUACACAAACAAUUGACAAGCUGUUGUUUCUAGAGCUUUGAAAAGUCCGGCAAGCUAGCAUGUUGAUCGCAUGGCACCAAACACAGCAUCAUCCUCUUGGCUCCGAGGCUGAUGUUUGAAGUCAAGAUAUGGGUUUACGCAUGGGAUGAUGCCAGCCGGCGUAUCAGUGCUGUUGGACUGAUGUCUGAGACUUUGUUCCUACAGUUCCUUAAGAUCAGAUAAGAUAAACGUGUGUAUGUAUCGGAAUAGUUCGACCGAUUGGACCAUGUAUCGGUAUAUUAACGACCAAGUGCAUCAAUUAGUUGAAUAAUGAAUACUGAACCAACAACCCACGUACUGUAAACGUUAUUAGUUCAAUUUUUGACCAUUAUAGUAAUCCACAUUGCAAUUUUUCACUAGUUUAAGUAAAAUAUCUCCUUCUAGAUUUUCAUUGAUUAGGUUACUUUGUAUGAAGUUUAGCUUUAUUCCAAAUUUUCAAUAUUCGUUGCUAUCUAGCUUUAUUUAUUUGUACUAGUAUUCUUCCUCCGUUUUUGCACUCUGCAUAUAAAGAAAAAUAACAGAGGCCUCUCUGUUUUCUUCCACACACUUCUUCUUCUUCAAUCCCAACCUACAAAAAAAAAUGACCCAAUUUUCCUCCGCCGCCGUGAAAACCAUCGAUGAGCUGCAAAUCACACCGCCGCCGGGGACAGUUCUCGCCACUUCCACCCCGCUCAAUUUCUUCGACAUCCUAUGGUUCACCUGCCAUCCAAUCCAGCGAGUCUUCUUCUACCAUCUCCCAGAAAUCUCCAGUCUCCAAUUCCACAAUUCAAUCAUCCCCAACCUCACUGCCUCGCUCUCCAUCGCCCUCCGCUACUUUCACCCUUUCGCUGCGAAAUUCAUCUCCGUCCCCUUGCCAAACGAGCCCUACAUCCUCUACUCCGACGGCGACUCUGUUCCCUUCACCGUCGCCGAAUCCACCUCCCUCGACUUUAACAAAGUCACCUCCGACCAGCCAAACGACGUCAGAUUGCUCCACCCUCUCCUCCCAAAGCUCCUCCCGCCGGUUACCAACUCUGACGAUGGGUCGACGGUGUCCAAUCUCCUCUCCGUGAAGGUCACUCUGUUUCCAAACUCCGGAGUCUGCAUCGGGAUCGAGUUCCGCCACGUGGCUGCUGACGGGUUGGCGUUCAACCAUUUUGUGAAAUCCUGGGCUUCAAUUUCGAAAUCCGUAUGUAAGGAUUUGAGCUGGGUGGAAAAGAAUCCACCUUUGGUCGACAGGGGAUUGAUUAAAGAUCCGAAUAACUACGGCAAAGUGUUUCUGGAUCAGAUUUGGAAGGUCUCAGCUCCGUGGGAUGAAAAUUGCGUACAUGAUAAGCUCCUCGAUAAGGUCAGGGCGACGUUCGUGAUCGACGGCGACGACAUUUCACGGCUCAAGAAAUUGGUGAGUGCGUCGGCGUUCGUGGUGGCGAGCGCGUUCGUUUGGACCAAUUUGACCGAAUCGCUGGCCGGCGAAGAAGAUGGUGAUGAUGAUAAGAUCGACAGCUAUAUAUUUCCGGCGGAUUGCAGGGGAAGGAUUGAGCCGAAGGUUCCGGCGACCUAUUUCGGGAACUGUCUCGGCGGGGUUCUGGUGUCGGUGAGGCGGAGGGAUUUGGUCGGAGACGGCGGGUUUGCUGCGGCGGCGGGGGAGAUUGUGGCGAAGAUCGAGGAGAUGGUGAGGGAAGGACCGUUGAGAGAUGCGGCUAAUUGGCUUACGAAGUACGAGUCGAAUUUGAAAUCAGGGCGGACCGUUACAGUUGCGGGGUCGUCCAAGUUGCGGGUUUAUGAGACGGAUUUCGGUUGGGGCAGGCCGAGGAAAACGGAGCCGGUUCAUGUCGAUUUCUCCGGGUCGGUUUACUUUUCAGAUGUGAGGGAUGUGGAGAAGGGUGGGAUCGAGUUCGGGUUGGCGUUGAGUAGAGCUGAGAUGGACUCGUUUGUGAGUGGGUUCGAGUCCCGGUUGAACAAGUUGCGGGAGGUUAAUUGAGACAAGAAAGUUGAAACGGCGUGAAAAAAUUUGAUUUAGUCGCUUUGAUUUAAGAAAAAAUUAAGAUCAUAUUAGUAUUUUAUUCGGUUUGGCGGGACACAUAUGAUUUGUAUCUUUUCAAAUUUAAUUAUAAAUUUCAAUCUUAAUAAAUUAAGAAAACAUAUGUAACAUUCUGGCCGAUCGUACCAAAAGUACCAACUAAAUUAAUGUGGUACAUGGUAAUGAACAGAUACAGAAAAUAAUUUCCAUACAGAUAUGGAUAUGUAUGCACGGUAGAUUUCUUUUUAGCCAUGCACUACCUUACAAAAUAAGGGACACAUGGUAAGCUUGAGAUGUAGUCUCCCCAUCCAAUUUUUUCCCUCCUAAUGUAUGCAUGUAGAGAUUCAUGCAUCACGUAAGUCAAAUGGAUAAGGUAAACUAAUUAACAAAUUGGAGUUAUAUAUUAUAUAUCUCCUAUAAAAAGGUCUGCUUAGUUAGUUCAAAUGGUGAGCACUGAGAGGAGUUUCCUACAUAAAUGAGUUUAUUAUUAUUAAGGCUAUAUGCAUGAUAGGGUAAUGUCUGUUUAAUCUUAAGAUUUUAUAUGUUUCUUUAUCAUAUUUAUUACUUAAUAUGAUACAUGUUCUGCUACUUUGCUGAUAUAUCUGUUUUAAUAUAUGUGUUAAUAUGAGCAGUAACUAUUACUGAUUAUUGAAUAAAUCUGGUAAUUGAUUGAUCACCUAGUUAGGGCCCGUAUGCUGGCGAUUGUGUUUAUUGCACUUCUGUUACGCGGUGGGCCUUGGUAAGCGUCACAACUAACUAUUGUUGUGGGCUUUGAUAAGCGUCACACUAACUCUACGUGGGCCAUUUUAGUGCCACUAACUCUACGUGGGCGUCAGCAUAUGUGAGCGGGGAUCCCAAAUAAAAUAUAGAUAUAAAUUAGAUUAUAGAAUUAGUCUUAUAUGUUAUAUGUUGUAUGUUUUUUAUAUGAAUAUUUGUACCUUAGAGUGACUAGGACGUAGAUCCUCACUCAGUGAUUAACACUGACCCUUACUUUCCAUUUCAGAGUGACAUUCAGAGCGACAGUAGGCUUUACUGGGUCACACACUGCAAAAUGGUAUCAUCGAGCUCUGGGGUCGGUCAUCAUGGUGACGACACCAGGUAGAUAUCGAAGAUUGUGUCUUGAUCAUCGUUUUGUAUUUAAAGUUUGUUUGAGACUCUUACUUCCAUCAUGUGCAUAUGUUAUGAGUGGUUGUGUACUAGUACAAUGUGAGAUAUGGUCUUGUAAAAUAUAGUGGCCUUGAGGGCAAGUAUAUGGUUACUCUGGUCCGAGCCUGUGAAGCUCGAGACUUCUGUUCUAUAUGUAUAUGUGUCCUGUUGGACUUCUGGUAUAGUGUACUGUACUGUGAAAAGUCAAUACGUCAUAUAUGACAUAUUGAGCAGUUUUGUGUUGACGAAUUGAUUAUUUGAGUACGUAUAAGCACAAUCCUAGAUUAUGAUAAAGCAAUUAAUCGGAUGAGUGUAAACAUUAAAUGAUAUAUACGAUAUAAGUAGCGUAACACCCUAUUAUUACUUCGCUGUUUUAUUUUAAAACGAACAUGUCAGCAGUAUGAGUGUUACAAUAUAAGUAUUUAUAAUCAAUCACCUAAUUUAUAAAAUAUUAUAUAUCAAUUUUGAUAAACUUUAUUUCAUACGUUUGGUAUUGCUAACAUCAUGUAUAUUUAUUGUCCGUAAAUGGAUCUCGAUAGGCUAUAAUUUUUGAUAAAGCAUUCCUAUGAUUAAAAAUAAAAAAUAGUAAGUUUANNNNNNNNNNNNNNNNNNNNNNNNNNNNNNNNNNNNNNNNNNNNNNNNNNNNNNNNNNNNNNNNNNNNNNNNNNNNNNNNNNNNNNNNNNNNNNNNNNNNNNNNNNNNNNNNNNNNNNNNNNNNNNNNNNNNNNNNNNNNNNNNNNNNNNNNNNNNNNNNNNNNNNNNNNNNNNNNNNNNNNNNNNNNNNNNNNNNNNNNNNNNNNNNNNNNNNNNNNNNNNNNNNNNNNNNNNNNNNNNNNNNNNNNNNNNNNNNNNNNNNNNNNNNNNNNNNNNNNNNNNNNNNNNNNNNNNNNNNNNNNNNNNNNNNNNNNNNNNNNNNNNNNNNNNNNNNNNNNNNNNNNNNNNNNNNNNNNNNNNNNNNNNNNNNNNNNNNNNNNNNNNNNNNNNNNNNNNNNNNNNNNNNNAAUUAAUUAAUAUUAAAAAUUUAUAUUAAAAUUUAAAAUUUCAUUAAGUUAAAAUUUUUAAAUAAUAAUAAAAUGAAGUUAGAAAAAUUAUUUUUGGAAGGUUUUACUAGUGCUGACUGCACAGUGAUGACUAUGCGCCAGGUGGAAUCCGACGUCAGCCGUAGUCCUCGCUUAAUCUCAAUUUACUCUCUUUCGCUCCAAAGUGAACCGAUUCACAUGCCUCCCUCCGCAUAACGUUCUCAAUCUCUCGUUUAAUAGUAAGGAUUUGUCCCAUGGAUCUGAUUCAUCGGCCAAUGAUCUUCUUCGACGAACUCUCAGUUUCCUUAUCGAACGAAUUCCAUCUCUACGUUGAAUUUUCUUCGCUUCUCUCUGGGUUUCUUCUGUAAUCCCCGCCAGUUGUUCGCUUGAAUGCUAGAAGUGGAUAAACAGCUGAGGAAAGUUUUCUCCGGCGGUUUGCAUUGGUUUCAGCGGGAACUGCAAGUGCAAAAUUGACUGAAAUUCUGUUUUUCCGAUUGAUAAUGCAGAUGGAGCCAUCGUCGUCAAUGGGUUCAAAUGCCGAGUCGAGUCUUCUGAAGGAAUUCUACAUUCCGACGUAUGUACUUGUACCGGAAUCGGAGGCGGUGAGCGUUACUGAUUUUCCGCAGUGUCCUGUUUUGGUGUUCAUCAACUCCAAAAGCGGUGGUCAGCUCGGUGGAGAUCUUCUCCUAACCUAUCGAUCCAUUCUCAAUGACCACCAGGUUCUGAUUACAUCUCAUGAUCCAGCCAUCUCUCUGUCCCUGUUUGAUUUCUGAUUGCAUGUUUCUUUCAGGUUUUCGAUUUAGGGGAGGAGACUCCUGAUAGUGUGCUGAGAAGGGUAUAUGUGAACAUUGAGAAGCUCAAGUCCGGCGGUGAUGGGUUUGCUGCCAAGAUUCAGGAGAGGUUGAAAAUAAUUGUGAGUUUGAUUUUUACAGGUGGCUUUUGGUUCAGUGUUCGCAGGAGUUAAGUUCUGAUGUGUAAGUUGGGUUGUUGUUUAGGUUGCAGGUGGUGAUGGAACUGCUGGUUGGCUUCUGGGUGUUGUUUGUGAUCUUAAGUUCCCUCAUUCUCCUCCAAUUGCAACUGUGCCUUUGGGAACUGGCAAUAAUCUUCCAUUUGCCUUUGGCUGGGUACGAUUAUUUCCAUUUCUCAGUAUUGUGAUGGAAUGUUCAUCGUUCAUAUGUGCAAUCUGUUGUCGAACCAGCUAGCAACUCGCGAUCAUUUGACGUUCUGUUCUUUGUUUGUAGGGAAAGAGGAAUCCUGGAACAGAUCGUCAGUCUGUUGUUUCCUUUCUUAAGGAGGUCAUGAAAGCAAAGGAAAUGAAGAUUGACAAGUGAGUUUGUGUAAUCCCCUUUGCUUCCCUGAAUGUUGAAUAUUUCAGGAUUACAUCCAAUGGAUAUCUAGCCUGUCUAUGGAUUGAAGUUACAGGAUGCUAAGUUUUUGCUGGUUUUGUAUGCGUAUUUCGAAUGUUUUCUCUUUGUCAAUUCAGCUGGCAUAUUAUGAUAAGGAUGAAGACCCCGAAAGAAGGUUCUUGCGAACCGAUUGCUCCUCUCGAGCUACCGCAUUCUCUGCACACUGUUCAUCGUGUCUCUUCAUCAGAUGAAUUCAACAAGGUAAAGAUAGUAUAUAUGUUGCAUUUCUGUUCACUAUAUGAUAAGGAUAUGAAGAUAACAGGUAUUUGCUUUACGUUCAGGAAGGUUAUACAACAUUUCGUGGCGGAUUCUGGAACUACUUCAGCUUGGGUAUGAUUCCUCUCUGACCUACUUCAUGUACGCUUUAUCUGCUAAUCUAUCUGCUAAAAAAUGUGCCGUAUAUCUGUUUUCUACAGGCAUGGAUGCUCAAAUAUCCUAUGCAUUUCAUUCUGAGAGGAAACUGCAUCCUGAAAAAUUCAAGAAUCAGUUGGCUAAUCAGGUAGGUACCUUCAUGCUUACGUAUGAUGGACUUGUUCGAUUUUAGUUCGAUGAUCAUUUCCAAACCGUUCUGGUUUCUGAGGGUUAGAAUGGAAAUCUGGAUAGACCUUAAAAUUGGAACUGCAUGAAUCAAAAUGCUUGCUUAUGAUACGAUUCCCUUUCUUUCUUUCCAGAGUACUUAUGCCAAGCUUGGUUGUACGCAAGGAUGGUUUGCUGCUUCUGUAUUCCAGUCCGACUCGAGGUGAGGUUAUGUCAAGGUUUAGAACCCGGUUUUCGAUCUUACUUGUGAUUACAUCAUCUAUAAUACUCCUGCAGAAUAGCAAGCUUGGCGAAGGUGAAAGUCAUGAAAAAAACAGGGCAGUGGGAAGAUCUAUCUAUAUCCAACAGGUUUUAAGCGCCUCUUAACGAAUCUCUUCAGUAUCGAAAACAGAGAAACAAUCUUUACCCUAACAUAAUCCUCAUUGCUGGUCUCUCUCUGGUCCACAGCAUAAGAUCAAUAGUGUGCCUCAACUUGCCCAGCUUUUCAGGCGGACUGAAUCCUUGGGGUACACCAAGCACUUGGAAACGCCGUGACGUGAGUUUCCUUUCCUUUUUCUGUUCACUAUUGCGGACCGAACCACUAAGACUGAUUCCUUAAAAUCAACAAAUCAAUGGUUGCAGCGAGACUUGACGCCACCUUAUGUCGACGAUGGGCGAAUCGAGGUUGUUGGGUUUAGAGACGCAUGGCAUGGACUCGUCUUGCUUGCUCCAAAAGGAAAAGGACACGGAACUCGCCUCGCACAGGUAACCGAAAUCUAAAACAUCAUUUCCGAGUAUGAUACCUUAAUGCGUGAACCUUUACAGGCACACAGAAUAAGGUUCGAAUUCCACAAAGGCGUUGCGGAUCACACGUACAUGAGGAUUGACGGCGAGCCUUGGAAGCAACCAUUGCCAACCGACGAUGACACGGUAGUCGUGGAGAUCUCUCACCUAGGCCAAGUGAAUAUACUAGCCACGAACGACUGCAGGUCAAAGAGCAUGACAGAUCCUUCAACUCCAAGUCACCCUGGCCGAGACGAAGACGACCAAGAUAGCGAGGAAGAUUGUGGAGAAGAAUUCAGGAAGUUCGGCGCAGCAGACACAUUCAAGAUGCCAGAUGAGUUCGACAUUUCCCAUCUUAGUUAAACUCUCUCAUUUAUGUUCUUCCAUUUCCCCCCCUUCUUCAUCAAUCAACUUAGUACAUUUUUGUGUUAACAUAGUAGGCAAAGAUGAACAAGAUAAUUCAUUCAUUAAUAUUCCCACAGGGAGCAGAACUGAUCUGAAUUUUGCAAGAACACAAAUUUUCUUUUUUGCAACAAUACCAGUUCCGAAACUGUGAAGACUGUAAAACAAAACUCUAUAUAGAAAGAAGAAUAGAACCAUCAUGGAGAGCCGUGUUAUCGCAGUUUUGGUCCUACUGGCCUACGUAGUUAGGCUGCGCCAAGCAGUUCUUGACUGCUUCGCUGGCCUUCUGCGAUUCUGCUGAUCUUUCCUCGCGCUUCUUCUUCUCCCUGGUCACGAGAAUGUUUAAUUUAAUGAGAUGAACAUACCCAAUAACAGGAAUAGGAAAAGGUAGUUAGUUUUUUUUAAGUUAUACCUUGCAACAUACUCCUUCAGCAACUCCUUUGCCUGGACUAGCUUCGAGAGUAGAUUGCGGUACACAUCAAGAUCUCGAUCCACACUCCUUUUGUCCACGUUGAGAGCUGCGCAUAGCUGUUUCAUACAAAAUGUAUGCUCAGUCAACACCACUUCAGUGAAAUUCUAGACCUUGAAAGCUAAUUCAAUAUGCACUGCUAAUGUUCUAAGGGAAUUCAAGAUCGAACCUUCUCCAACACAGUGGGCUCCGUAGCAUUCGAAAGCUCGAGAAGGCGGAAGAGCCCAACAGCAAAGAACCGGCUGUAACUGAAUUUGCCAGCCGCAGCUCUUUCCGCAAUAGCUUUCAACAUACCCUCAACUUCACCGUCUCUCGAAGGAAACUCAACCAAUGAAGCAGCAGUCUGAGCCCUCGCCCAUUCCUCGAGCUUGUUAGCAUCAUUUCUGCACUUCCAAAUUCACCAAGAACCAAACUAAAACAACAAAGAAUCUCUUCAUCCAGCGAAGCCAACUUGGCCAAUCAAAAUUAGAGUACCUGUAUUGCUCAGGUUCCUCCUGCAAUGCCCUAAUAUAAGCUUGGAAGAUGAUCUCCCGAUCCCCAUCGACUGGGUAUCCUUCCAUUAGCUUAUCGUAGACGGUCACGAACCCAAGUGCAAACACGGAGUCGUAAGAGUACGUCUUCUUGUACUUGAUCAAAUGCUGCUGCACGAUCAGCUCCUGGAGAACGUUGUUGUAGAUGCUAGGGAUUGGCUUCUUAUACGCUUUGAGGAAAUUCAGCUUCGUCUCUGCCACUGUUGGUAAAUCUGCAACCAUCCAAUCAAGCAAUUGCAAGUGCAUUAGUUUAACCUAGAAUCAUUUCCACAUUUUACAGUUACAAGUCGCCCCUCCUGAUGAGAUCAGCUAGACCGAUUCAAACUACGAACUAUACUAUACUAUUUCUAGAAUCUUUGAUUCCGAUUCAGCAAACUUCAAAUUCAAAGAACAGGAAAACGGAGGAAUCACCUGCAGAGGUGGACAUGCAGCGGACGUCGAUGGCGGAGGAGCUAGAACUACGGAGGCGAGCGGAGGCGGAAACUCGGAAACGGAAGGCUUCGCAGGUGGAGAAAGCUAACGAGCGGCUAAAGGAGGAGGAUGAGGAGGACCUGGAUUCGGCGGUGGAGUGACCAAUCGCCGGCGAGAAGGAGACGGAAGUGAGUGCCGCCAUUUCCACAGUCGUAUCAGUUUGUCGCGAGGAACGAGGAGUUUCAGAGGAGGAAACGAAAGAAUGGUAAAGGAUUGAAAUCUGUACGACUGAGAAUCUCAGCUCAUUGGAGAGGAGAAUUGAAGAAGAUGAAUUGCAUUCCCUGUUCCUCUGUGAGUUCUUGCGGAAUUUGGGUGGACUGAGAAGGAAGGAGGGAUUAUCCAGCAAACAUUACUCUGAAAUGUCGUUUUUAUUUUUAUUUUAAAUUUUAGUUCGGUAGGAUCUUGACACGUAGGUGAGAGAGUCUGAGAGUGAUCUUUGUUUGUGUGGCUGUGGUUUUUGAGCCAGCUGGACUUAGGAUCCACCACGUCAUGGCACUAAGGGUCCCGCCCAUUGCAGCCAGCUCGGCGUUAGAACAGCCAGCUAUAAACGGUGCUGUUUUGGCCUCUUUUCAUUCUCUCUAAUCUCUUCCAUGUGUCCAAAAUGAAACUUUGUAAAGAUGAAGACUGAAGAGUAGACUAAUGGUUGAACUUGUAAUUUCGAAAUUUAUAUAUACGGAUAAGUGAGAGUUCACGGUGUAGUUUAAAUUCAAUAAAAUUACAACGCAAAAGAGGUCAAUUGCGGUUUGGUCUCUGCUUAGUUCUCUUACACUAAUUGGACCCAAAUCCCUCAAGGUCUACUUGUGGAGCUUCUCAAACCUUCUUUAUCUUAACGCAAACAUGUUUUAACUAUCGAUGUAAUCAAUUUGAAGGAGUCUCUCACAGUCUCUAGUAUUAGGAUAUGUAAACCAACAUUUAUGUCAAAUGAUCAAUCCUUAAUCGACGAGGUUACCGACACUAAAGGAAUACUUCUCUUGCAGUAUCGCGCAUCUUUGAACAAGCUUUCUUUCGUGCCCGCAGACCGCAAUAGAAACCAUCAUUCAUGGAACCAAUUGAGCAAACAUGUCCCCAAUAAAUGCUCUUACAUUUCUCCCGAACUCGAAUUUAAUGAGAAUCUCAAGCUACUGGUUCUUCUCCAAUUUCCUUCAAUCAAUUUCUGAAACCUUUUACCUGUCCUGCUCUCAUUGCACAAACACAAAAGCCAGUCAGAAGUACCCUCAACCGAAAGAAAAGAACCAACAGUUAAACAACAGAGAAAAAGACCAAGCAACCAAAAGGUUAUAGAAAACUACAAAGAAAACUGUAAAAAAAAACCAAGUACAGUACAGCAGAACAUUUCUUAAAUUGAUCAAAGAAUCCUUCAAUCCUUAUCCAUCUUUAGACUUCAAACGUGUCCAUUCUAUCCAAACACUCACAUGGACACUUUAGAGCCAGAGUGAUUAUGGCACCAACGUGCUAACCAAAAAUCUCUUAACUUAUUAAUCCUUCUGAACCAAUGGUGGUCACUGGGACAGCACAGCAUCCCCUAUAUAUAAACCUAUGUACUUGUGUUAGUGAACUGCUGUCAUAGCUUAUAAAAUUACAGAUAGGGGAGGAUUCUUUCUGGAUGCACUCCACCAAGAAUCCAGGCUAGAUCUUGGCUGGUGUGUUGAUUACCAUAAUCUUGCUUUAAACAAUGCUCUGAAACUUUGCUUGCACAUGAUCCGAUUACUUAACUCAGUUUCCCAAACCCCAUGGCAAAACCCUACUGGUGGUGAGUUUAGAGUUUAAACCCUGGUUAUGCAGUUUACUGGGGUUUAGUGCACUGUUCAAUAAACUUGUAUUGUUUAAGCAUGCUUCAUAUAUGGCAGUGAUUGAAUGGUGGAUGAGGAAAUAGAAAUUUGUGUUGUUACAACUUCCGUUGUUGUUGCCAAACAUGAAAGGAGGUUGGAUCUUGACCCGAAUAAGUUUUUUCCGAAUCGGCACCAGACGCCAACAAUCGUUAAUUAGGGAUGAUCUGGAGGUGAUUCACUGAUUCAUCCGUGGCACGAUAAUUUGAAUAAGCCUCAUCCUUAAUCCGGACCAGAUACAAAAUAACAAUAACUAUGAAAAGGCGUGUUGUUACAACUUCCAUCGUUAUGCCAAAUUUGACGUGGUACACUAGAUUGCAUUACAAAAAAAAUCCGUUAAUUUUUACCUGAAUUUGUUGUUCUAGCACUCAGGAAAAAGGUUAGACCACGACUCAAACAAGCCUCUUCCGAAAUCCGCACCAAACACCAAUUAUGAGUAACUUGAGGAUGAAUUGAAGAUGACUUAUAUGUACCACCUUAACCCAUAAAAGUUAAUACCGAUAACUCGAAAUCGAAUCUAAUAAUGAUUGAUCGUGCCACAAACUCAACCUUCCUUAAAAUUCAAAACUUCGAAAAACCAUCAUAUAUUUCAACGUAGUUGGCACAUUUUAUUUCGAUUUCAAAUAACCCCUAAGCAGUAAUUUCGAAGUCCACACCACCCUAUCAACGCUCAUAGAUAUGAUCAUCCAAUGUAAUUGGAUGGAUGAACAUAACUUUUCUUGUUUGACUGAUUCUCACCAUUCAAAACAAAUGGUCUCCCCCCCAAUUCCUCUUUUCUUACAGUAAAAAAUGUUCAUUAUAAUACUGAGAAUCAGAAUACCCCACCGUGGGUUUUGACGCCAUAUGCCGGCAUACAGAUCUUUGGCAAUCUGCUGCAGUAGCUUUUCCUUCAUAUAUUAAACUAUUAACACAAGUUUUCCUCCAUGCCUAUAUAAGAAGAAGGCUUAGUUAGUUACCAGUCAGAUUAGCCAAAAAAAAUCUAUUUUUUUCUCCCUAUACUGUGUAAAUGAACCUGAUAAGGAACAGAAUUAAGGAGCUUUUCAAUCCACAAGAGAUGCAGACGGCAUCAGCAGCCACUGAAGACAGUACUACUACUACUUCGAGGAAUGCGAGCAAGAAGCAGAGGAUCAGCAUCAGAGGAGGGUUCAUAAGCUACAAGGAAGACCCAGCAAGAAGCAUCGACGAGUUCAAGCUCAAACAGGCUGAGGAGUCUCUCAGAACUGUCAUGUACCUCAGCUGCUGGGGCCCUAACUAACUCCUGUAAUUAUCUGAUUCUGUAAUACUCAGUAGUAAUGUACUGAUCUGUGUGUUCUUGUAAGUUUGUGAAUAUUGGCUCUUCUGGUAUAAAAAUCUAACAUAAGAGCUACUCUCUGCAAAAAGUUGACUGCAAAAGAGUGGUUUAUCCAUAUGAUAUGUGGAAUUUGAGGGAAAUGCUAAAUCUCUUAUGAAUCAGCUUCAAGUUUACUGUUUUACUGCACUUGCUUUCCUGGGUCAACUUGGUUUAUAUGUACAUAAGGACACAGUGUUUGACCUCCAGCUGUUAUGAGCCAUGACCGAAUUAGCAGUGGGCGAGUCAGGCCAUUCUUGAGGCUUUUUCGGUUUCAAAGUGAUGAAAUUUGUGUAAAAUUUUCGAACUUUCAAGAUCCAGCGUCGAAUUUCUCCUAUGUUGAUUGUUUCGUUCAUAACUUUGGUUAAUUAGCAAAAGGAAAAAAAUACAAAGGAAGAAAGAACAGGAAGAUAAUCACUCUGCUGAAAUUCCCUUCAUUUUGCAGUAGAAAGAACCGAGUCAAGAUCCCAGAACUGACAUUUCUACAUUAAAGCUACAGGCUUUGGUCGUGUUGGAAUUACAUCGUUACAAAACCAGUCGUUCAAAAUGCUAAUUGAACAACACAGAGAAAGACAGAAGCUUCUAGAGAGAAGGGAAAAACAGGGGAUAAAGCUUUCCAACGCCGUUGGAGAGAUUAUUAUUAACAACGGUUUCUAUUUGUUUUCUUCAAACUAAGUGAGGACCCCAGCAAACGACAUGCAAGAUCCGCUCAGCUCGUUCAGCUUCUCUUGUUGGAUUCGUCUUUCUCCUCUGAAAUCCACCAUGACCAACUUCCUCUGUUGUCUGGUCUUUCUUCUCCUCUGUUCUGCCUGAAAAAGAAAACGAAGGAGAAGAAACCCACCAUCUCCCCUGAGUCUCGCCGGAUUCCGCCACCUGAGAAACUUCCACUCCAGUCAUCUUCUCUUUCCUUCUAAAACCCACUCUCUUGAUCUCUAUCUCUUCCCUGCUCUACGCAGAACUUUAAAAGCUAAAGAUGGGGGGGGGGGGGGGCGCGGGGGGGGGGGGCGCUGUUUCAGAAAACCUGGAGGUUUUGUGGUGAGAAAUUGGAGUUGCAGAGAGGGGUCCAAUGAUUUAUAUAAGGUGGUGGGGAAACAACUAAGACAGAUGGUUGGUUUUCGUUUUAAAUUAUAAUUUUGGAUUUUUGUUUUCUGGUUUGAAAUUGAAAACUCGAUAGGCUUGGCUGAGGUUCCAAGGUACAGGGGAAGGGGAGGAAGAAAGAGUGGUUAAAGGGAAGUUCUUG